RNAcentral lists this ribosomal RNA (2921 nucleotides) under Lactiplantibacillus pentosus. RNAcentral describes it as "23S ribosomal RNA". It matches the Rfam family "Bacterial large subunit ribosomal RNA". Lineage: Bacteria; Bacillati; Bacillota; Bacilli; Lactobacillales; Lactobacillaceae. The record is from RNAcentral.
GGUUAAGUUAACAAGGGCGCAUGGUGAAUGCCUUGGCACUAGGAGCCGAUGAAGGACGGGACUAACACCGAUAUGCUUCGGGGAGCUGUACGUAAGCUAUGAUCCGGAGAUUUCCGAAUGGGGCAACCCAGCAGUUUUAAUCAACUGUUACCACUAGAUGAAUUCAUAGUCUAGUUGGAGGUAAACGCUGUGAACUGAAACAUCUCAUUAGCAGCAGGAAUAUAAAGAAAUUUCGAUUCCCCAAGUAGCGGCGAGCGAACGGGGAACAGCCCAAACCAAAGUGCUUGCACUUUGGGGUUGUAGGACUGAACAUUUGAGUUACCAAAGAACUUGAUAGUCGAAGGAUUUGGGAAAAUCCGCCAUAGAUGGUGAUAGCCCAGUAGAUUAAAUCAAAUUCUCUCAGUUCAGGAUCCUGAGUACGGCGGAACACGUGAAAUUCCGUCGGAAUCCGGGAGGACCAUCUCCCAAGGCUAAAUACUACCUAGUGACCGAUAGUGAACCAGUACCGUGAGGGAAAGGUGAAAAGCACCCCGGGAGGGGAGUGAAAUAGUUCCUGAAACCAUGUGCCUACAAUAAGUCAGAGCGCGUUAAUGCGUGAUGGCGUGCCUUUUGUAGAAUGAACCGGCGAGUUAUGAUCCCGUGCAAGGUUAAGACUAAAAAGUCGGAGCCGUAGCGAAAGCGAGUCUGAAAUGGGCGAUUUGAGUACGAGGUUAUAGACCCGAAACCAGGUGACCUAUCCAUGUCCAGGUUGAAGGUGCGGUAAAACGCACUGGAGGACCGAACCCGUGUAAGUUGAAAAUUGCUGGGAUGAGGUGUGGAUAGCGGUGAAAUUCCAAACGAACUUGGAGAUAGCUGGUUCUCUCCGAAAUAGCUUUAGGGCUAGCCUCGGAUUAAGGAUCAUGGAGGUAGAGCACUAUUUGGACUAGGGGCCCGUCUUGGGUUACUGAAUUCAGAUAAACUCCGAAUGCCAUUGAUUCAUGUCCGGGAGUCAGACGAUGAGUGAUAAGAUCCACCGUCGAAAGGGGAACAGCCCAGACCAUCAGUUAAGGUCCCUAAAUGUAUGCUAAGUGGAAAAGGAUGUGGAGUUGCAUAGACAACUAGGAUGUUGGCUCAGAAGCAGCCACCAUUUAAAGAGUGCGUAAUAGCUCACUAGUCGAGUGAUCCUGCGCCGAAAAUGUACCGGGGCUAAGCAUACUACCGAAACCAUGGAUGCGACCAUUAGGUCGCGUGAUAGGAGAGCGUUCUAAGGGCGGUGAAGCAAGAUCGUGAGGACUUGUGGAGCGCUUAGAAGUGAGAAUGCCGGUAUGAGUAGCGAAAGAUAGGUGAGAAUCCUAUCCACCGAAUGACUAAGGUUUCCUGGGGAAGGCUCGUCCUCCCAGGGUUAGUCGGGACCUAAGUCGAGGCCGAGAGGCGUAGACGAUGGAUAACAGGUUGAGAUUCCUGUACUAGUUAAGUGCGUUUGAGCAAUGGAGGGACGCAGGAGGCUAAGAUGUGCAUUCUGUUGGAUUAGAAUGUCCAAGCAGUAAGUCUUGUGGAGAGUCAAAUGCUUUUCACUUUAAGGACAAGCUGUGAUGGGGAGCGAAAUUUAGUAGCGAAGCGUCUGAUGUCACACUGCCGAGAAAAGCUUCUAGUGAGUACUUAACUACCCGUACCGCAAACCGACACAGGUAGUCGAGGAGAGAAUCCUAAGGUGAGCGAGUGAACUCUCGUUAAGGAACUCGGCAAAAUGACCCCGUAACUUCGGGAGAAGGGGUGCUGAUCGCAAGAUCAGCCGCAGUGAAUAGGCCCAGGCGACUGUUUAUCAAAAACACAGGUCUCUGCAAAAUCGUAAGAUGACGUAUAGGGGCUGACGCCUGCCCGGUGCUGGAAGGUUAAAAGGAUGGGUUAGCUUCGGCGAAGCUCAGAAUUGAAGCCCCAGUAAACGGCGGCCGUAACUAUAACGGUCCUAAGGUAGCGAAAUUCCUUGUCGGGUAAGUUCCGACCCGCACGAAAGGCGUAACGAUCUGGGCACUGUCUCAACGAGAGACUCGGUGAAAUUAUAUUGUCCGUGAAGAUGCGGACUACCCGCGACAGGACGGAAAGACCCCAUGGAGCUUUACUGUAGCUUGAUAUUGAGUGUUUGUACAGCUUGUACAGGAUAGGUAGGAGCCAUAGAAACCGGAACGCUAGUUUCGGUGGAGGCGUUGGUGGGAUACUACCCUCGCUGCAUGACCACUCUAACCCGCACCACUAAUCGUGGUGGGAGACAGUGUCAGGUGGGCAGUUUGACUGGGGCGGUCGCCUCCUAAAAAGUAACGGAGGCGCCCAAAGGUUCCCUCAGAAUGGUUGGAAAUCAUUCGCAGAGUGUAAAGGCACAAGGGAGCUUGACUGCGAGACAGACAGGUCGAGCAGGGACGAAAGUCGGGCUUAGUGAUCCGGUGGUACCGUAUGGAAGGGCUAUCGCUCAACGGAUAAAAGCUACCCUGGGGAUAACAGGCUUAUCUCCCCCAAGAGUCCACAUCGACGGGGAGGUUUGGCACCUCGAUGUCGGCUCAUCGCAUCCUGGGGCUGUAGUCGGUCCCAAGGGUUGGGCUGUUCGCCCAUUAAAGCGGUACGCGAGCUGGGUUCAGAACGUCGUGAGACAGUUCGGUCCCUAUCCGUCGCGGGCGUAGGAAAUUUGAGAGGACCUGUCCUUAGUACGAGAGGACCGGGAUGGACAUACCUCUGGUGUACCAGUUGUGCCGCCAGGCGCAUCGCUGGGUAGCUACGUAUGGAUGUGAUAAACGCUGAAAGCAUCUAAGUGUGAAACACACCUCGAGAUGAGAUUUCCCAUUCCUUUAUGGAAGUAAGACCCCUGAAAGAUGAUCAGGUAGAUAGGUUAGAAGUGGCAGUGCGGUGACGCAUGAAGCGGACUAAUACUAAUCGGUCGAGGACUUAACCAA